This 444-nucleotide ribosomal RNA is filed under the name uncultured bacterium. RNAcentral's name for it is "SSU rRNA". It matches the Rfam family "Bacterial small subunit ribosomal RNA", at positions 26 to 518 of the family's 1533-position model. The record is from RNAcentral.
AGAACGAACGCUGGCGGCAGGCUUAACACAUGCAAGUCGAACGCCCCGCAAGGGGAGUGGCAGACGGGUGAGUAACGCGUGGGAAUCUACCCAGUUCUACGGAAUAACACAGGGAAACUUGUGCUAAUACCGUAUACGCCCUACGGGGGAAAGAUUUAUCGGGAUUGGAUGAGCCCGCGUUGGAUUAGCUAGUUGGUGGGGUAAUGGCCUACCAAGGCGACGAUCCAUAGCUGGUCUGAGAGGAUGAUCAGCCACACUGGGACUGAGACACGGCCCAGACUCCUACGGGAGGCAGCAGUGGGGAAUAUUGGACAAUGGGCGCAAGCCUGAUCCAGCCAUGCCGCGUGAGUGAUGAAGGCCUUAGGGUUGUAAAGCUCUUUUGUGCGGGAAGAUAAUGACGGUACCGCGAAGAAUAGCCCCGGCUAACUUCGUGCCAGCAGCCGC